RNAcentral lists this ribosomal RNA (531 nucleotides) under Bifidobacterium pseudocatenulatum. RNAcentral's name for it is "bacterial SSU rRNA". It matches the Rfam family "Bacterial small subunit ribosomal RNA", at positions 160 to 703 of the family's 1533-position model. The record is from RNAcentral. Lineage: Bacteria; Bacillati; Actinomycetota; Actinomycetes; Bifidobacteriales; Bifidobacteriaceae.
GUGGUAAUGCCGGAUGCUCCGACUCCUCGCAUGGGGUGUCGGGAAAGAUUUCAUCGGUAUGGGAUGGGGUCGCGUCCUAUCAGGUAGUCGGCGGGGUAACGGCCCACCGAGCCUACGACGGGUAGCCGGCCUGAGAGGGCGACCGGCCACAUUGGGACUGAGAUACGGCCCAGACUCCUACGGGAGGCAGCAGUGGGGAAUAUUGCACAAUGGGCGCAAGCCUGAUGCAGCGACGCCGCGUGCGGGAUGACGGCCUUCGGGUUGUAAACCGCUUUUGAUCGGGAGCAAGCCUUCGGGUGAGUGUACCUUUCGAAUAAGCACCGGCUAACUACGUGCCAGCAGCCGCGGUAAUACGUAGGGUGCAAGCGUUAUCCGGAAUUAUUGGGCGUAAAGGGCUCGUAGGCGGUUCGUCGCGUCCGGUGUGAAAGUCCAUCGCUUAACGGUGGAUCUGCGCCGGGUACGGGCGGGCUGGAGUGCGGUAGGGGAGACUGGAAUUCCCGGUGUAACGGUGGAAUGUGUAGAUAUCGGAAA